UACGUAGGGGGCAAGCGUUAUCCGGAUUUACUGGGUGUAAAGGGAGCGUAGACGGUGAUGUAAGUCAGAUGUGAAAGCCCAGGGCUCAACCCUGGGACUGCAUUUGAAACUAUGUCACUAGAGUGCAGGAGAGGUAAGUGGAAUUCCUAGUGUAGCGGUGAAAUGCGUAGAUAUUAGGAGGAACACCAGUGGCGAAGGCGGCUUACUGGACUGUAACUGACGUUGAGGCUCGAAAGCGUGGGGAGCAAACAGG
This 253-nucleotide ribosomal RNA is filed under the name Anaerocolumna sp. RNAcentral describes it as "partial 16S ribosomal RNA". It matches the Rfam family "Bacterial small subunit ribosomal RNA", at positions 524 to 776 of the family's 1533-position model. RNAcentral also lists the same sequence under 1 other name. The record is from RNAcentral. Lineage: Bacteria; Bacillati; Bacillota; Clostridia; Lachnospirales; Lachnospiraceae.